ACUGGGCAUGGUGGUGCAUGCCUGCAGUCCCAACUACUUGGGAAGCUGAGGCAGGAGGAUCACGGGAGUCCAGGAGUUUAGGGCCAUCCUGGGCAAUGGAGUGAGACCCUGUCUCCA
RNAcentral lists this non-coding RNA (117 nucleotides) under Leptotrombidium deliense. The record is from RNAcentral. Lineage: Eukaryota; Metazoa; Arthropoda; Arachnida; Trombidiformes; Trombiculidae.